UUGAGUGUUCUUGCAGCUGAAUUUUGUACUUAGAAGAACUAAUAGAUAUGUGGGAUUUCGAUUUUAAAAGUUUCUAAUUCUUUUGUAGAUAGUCUUCAAAUCAUCAAGAUCACCACUUGUUUAUUUUGUAAGCUAUUAUUUUCUUAGUCUUUGUUUGUUUACUUUCUUUCUCGUGUGUGUUGAUGUGAGUAGGCUGUCAUUGUUAUUUGAGUGUUUGAUCCUUUGAACUCUUUAUCACAAAUUGUAUACUCGGUGGUGGAGAUAUGGUUGUAUUGUUGUGAUAUGGACAAGGCAUGUGUUUGAGAGAGCUAGUGUCCUUAAAGGUAUCUCUAACCUCGUGUCUAAAUAUUGUUUGAGAGAGCUGAUGUUAUUUGGUUAUAAAUGCAGGCAAAUAUUGUAAGAACUGAUCGCAUUGAAUCUCUGAUUUUGGUUUCUCAUUGUGAAACAGGGUGAUACAUUCAACAAUUCUCAUUGCAUCACAGACUCAAGGCUCAAUACAUUCAACAAUCUUGGAGAGAUGUGAGAAUAUGAUCGAAUAUGUAAAAAGGCUUAGGCUUUGCAUUAGAUGGUUUCAAGAACUCGAGUUAGAUUACGUCUUUGAGCAAGAGAUGGAGGUUCAUGACAAAGUGAAUCAAACGAGAAAAAAUCUUGUUCGUCUUAGAGUUUUUAGGCUAUUAACUCGAUCUGCAACUUUUUAACUCAACCACAUAUAAACUUAAUUCUAUGUCAGAAGACGAGUUUAUGUUUCAAUAAUGUAUUUUUAUGGUUUUAAUUUUAUUGUAUAAAUCUCUGUCACA
This is a long non-coding RNA of Arabidopsis lyrata subsp. lyrata, 797 nucleotides long. RefSeq lists it as uncharacterized. Lineage: Eukaryota; Viridiplantae; Streptophyta; Magnoliopsida; Brassicales; Brassicaceae. The transcript has 2 exons. The record is from RefSeq and is a predicted model, not a curated record.